UCGGGAAUAUUGCGCAAUGGAGGAAACUCUGACGCAGUGACGCCGCGUGCAGGAAGAAGGUUUUCGGAUUGUAAACUGCUUUAGACAGGGAAGAAACAAGACAGUACCUGUAGAAUAAGCUCCGGCUAACUAUGUGCCAGCAGCCGCGGUAAUACGUAGGGAGCAAGCGUUAUCCGGAUUUAUUGGGUGUAAAGGGUGCGUAGACGGGAAUGCAAGUUGGUUUGUGAAAUCCCUCGGCUCAACCGAGGAAUUGCAACCAAAACUAUAUUUCUUGAGUGCUGGAGAGGAAAGUGGAAUUCCUAGUGUAGCGGUGAAAUGCGUAGAUAUUAGGAGGAACACCAGUGGCGAAGGCGACUUUCUGGACAGUAACUGACGUUGAAGCACGAAAGUGUGGGGAGCAAACAGGAUUAGAUACCC
Molecule: ribosomal RNA, 417 nt
Filed under: uncultured bacterium
Lineage: Bacteria
Description: bacterial SSU rRNA
Rfam family: Bacterial small subunit ribosomal RNA
Source: RNAcentral